RNAcentral lists this microRNA (21 nucleotides) under Solanum tuberosum (potato). Its description in RNAcentral is "stu-miR8049-3p". Lineage: Eukaryota; Viridiplantae; Streptophyta; Magnoliopsida; Solanales; Solanaceae. The record is from miRBase by way of RNAcentral.
CAUGUCUACAUGAGCCUGAUA